CUCGUAGGCGGCUUGUUGCGUCGACUGUGAAAACCUGCGGCUCAACCGUGUGGUCUGCAGUCGAUACGGGCAGGCUGGAGUUCGGUAGGGGAGACUGGAAUUCCUGGUGUAGCGGUGAAAUGCGCAGAUAUCAGGAGGAACACCGGUGGCGAAGGCGGGUCUCUGGGCCGAUACUGACGCUGAGGAGAGAAAGCGGUGGGGAGACGAACGA
Molecule: ribosomal RNA, 211 nt
Filed under: uncultured bacterium
Lineage: Bacteria
Description: partial 16S ribosomal RNA
Rfam family: Bacterial small subunit ribosomal RNA
Source: RNAcentral